GAUAGAUAGUAUGCUCAAUCUACACACAUAUAUACAAAAACCAAGAAUUUCAGCAGUUUCUGGUUUCUGAUCAGAGAAAGGAACAUAAAGUAAAAAUUAGUUGAUCUUACUAAAUUCAAUUCCAGACGUUGUUUUUUUUUAAUAUUGGGCAUCUCUAGCGUGCUCUUGUACAUACGAAAAUAUAUGAUGAAUAUUAUUAUGAUGACUCAUACAGUCAGAGUCUAUAUAACGCAUACAAUUUACAAGAUCAGGAAACAAAUUGGAGGGAGAUACAAGUUUGGUAAACAUAGCCAUUGAUACCUCAGUGGGAAAGGAAUUCAAAAGUAGGUUUUGUGGAUCAAGAGAAAUGUACUUUUUUUUUUUUUUUCAUGAACUUUAAUCAUUUUUCAUGUGGUUCCUAUAUGUGAGUGAGCUAUAACGUGAUCUAAUUUUUACAACAAAAAGACCUUCCUCUUCUGUUCUAAUCUUCCCACUGACUUUACUGCACAGGUAUGAAAUGGUAGCCUAUUGGAUCUUUAGUAACUUUUUUUUUCCCUAGAUGACUGAAACAUAGGUAUUUACUCCAUUUAAACCAGGUGUUUAAAAAAAUGAUGUAAAUACUCAGGGUAUUAACUUGUCAUUUUUGCCUAAUUGGAGUGUUUAAAGUGCCAUAUCUAAGCAACUUUCAGUUCAUAAUUCUAGAGUAAAUUCAGUUUGGUAAAGGGGCUUCACACGUGGUGGUGGUUAAACAUUCACUUUUUUAUAUUUAGAUGAAAAUGUUUGUGGACUGAUACAUUUUCUCUUAGUGAAUACGAAUUGUUUAUGUAUCUCUACUGUCAUACCCUUUUUGAAACUCAGGAAAGACAAAGGUUCAAUUCUACUACUUUUGUCAGUAUACAAACCAGGUGUGUUAUUUUUCCUGUUGUCUGGAUAUGGCAAUAGAUUUUUUAAAAAGAAAGGCUGUGAGAACCCAUACGUGAAAAGAGAGGAUUGAAUUGUUUGUGCCUUUUGUUUCUUGAGAUUUAUAUGUGGAAAGGACAUCAUCUACUCCAGACUGUAUUUUCAAAGAGAAGAAAUUGCUAUUUAUGUGGUGCCAAGUGAUAAAAUAAUGUCUCUUAAAGGCUUCCUGUGGACUGCCUUUAUUUUCCUAAGCUCAAGACACCAGUUAACCUCAACAUAAAUUUGGCCUUUAUUAGAAUUUCUGUGCAUUAUAUUGAAAGCUAGGUUUACAUCACCUCACCCCAUUAUUCCUUUUAGUUACAUAAAUAAAUUCACCAUACCAAGAAACCAGAAUGGGGCAAUUUGGUUGGCCUUUAAGGCAACAGGUUUGACUAGCUAGCUAUACUUAUUGUCACAUCUAAUGCUAGGUAUCAGAAACCACUUGAGCCGGAAGUGUGAACUGAUAAUUCCAGAGACAUUGUCAACGUACUUCAUACUUUUUUAAAAAUGUUUUUUAUGGAUGUUUUACAUUUGUGUGAUUGCCUUAGGUAUUAAAUUAGUGCUAAAGAUCAUCAUUAAAAAUUUUUUUAAAUAGCAGUAGUUGUAACUUAUUUUAUAUAUUGUCCCAAAGAAAAGAAUUUGUUUUAAUGUUUUCAAAAUAACUGCAUCUGUAUUUGCUUAUGUGCCUUAAGUUCUCUAGUUCUGUUUCAACUUUUUUUUUAAUCUAAAGUUUACCUUAGAUAAGUUCCAUACUUAUUUCCUAUAAAUUGCUCUUAAAAUGUUUAAUGAGCAUCAACUAUGUGGUUGCUUGGCAGGAAGGAAAAUGUUAAGAAAGUGGUUUGGUGUUUGGAGUUUUACUAUAUUUGGGAAGGUUUUUUGUUUGAUGCCAAGCUGCUUUUUAAGAUUUUAAGAAAAAAUCCUUGUAAACAUCAUCAAUAUCUAUAUCCAGUGUCAAAAAAGUAAAUCUACUUACUCUUGUUCCAUUCUUAGGUACUGUUUUUUUGUUUUUUCCUCUACAGACUCUUUCAUUUAUCUUUUUUGAAAAAGUUCUUAAUCUUUCCUCCCCCAAUACCCACUCCAUGGUUUCUUUAUUUAAAUCUUGUUGAAAGUCUCUGGAGCUAAUCUAAGACAACACAAUUAUAGAGUUGAACAAAAGCGUACUGUGCUUUACAACAUGUACAGACCUGUGGCAGCCAGAUGUCAUUUGCUUUCAGAUGCUCCAGUCUUCACAGUUAAAAAAAAAAUGCUCCUUGUUUCUUUGUUUUCAUCAGUUGCGGCACACUAAUACUUUCAUGUCUCGUCUAAAAUAUACUUUGUGCAUAGUUUUUCUUUAAUUUUUAAAAAGUUGUAUCUAAUAAAAAAAAAGUCUUUUAACCAUUAUUACUUGACUACAGUUGUAUUAAAUUUUAUUUACC
This 2333-nucleotide long non-coding RNA is filed under the name Bos taurus (domestic cattle). Its description in RNAcentral is "long non-coding RNA NONBTAT000908". The record is from RNAcentral. Lineage: Eukaryota; Metazoa; Chordata; Mammalia; Artiodactyla; Bovidae.